UCUAAGGAUGAUCCUUCAGCGAGCCUCAAGCUCACUAUCGGAUCGUUUUAGAAACAUCAGUGGCCAACGGUCGUCAGGAUCGUUGAGCUGCAUUGGCGGGAUUUCGCCGUCUACGUUUCUCUUUCUUCGCGGACGAACACGCGCUGGGCCUGCAUGGUUGCAGGAUCCCGGUCCUUAACAGGAUAUGCGUUAGGGGCUUGUAGCUCAGUUGGUUAGAGCGCGCGCUUGAUAAGCGUGAGGUCGGAAGUUCAAGUCUUCCCAGGCCCACCACACUCAUCGAGUGAGCAUUCGUCUUCUGGUUACGGGGCCAUAGCUCAGCUGGGAGAGCGCGUGCUUUGCAAGCAUGAGGUCGUCGGUUCGAUCCCGUCUGGCUCCACCAGAUGGUUUGAUCAUCGACUGAUCGUGCAACUAAAUCGUCCGCGAUACAUCACUUCGCAUCUUGCUAGUCUGGAUAGACAGCAANUUGCGUGAUUUCUGACAUCGUAAAGAGGAGAUCGAUCCGAGUUGGGUCGUGCAGCAAGCAAUUGCUGUGCGACACUUCAUUAUCUCCGGAUCAUUUCGGCGCUCGUGCGUCUUUCAAGGNAGCUCACAAGGCUGCAUUUGAGAGGCNGGCGAGUUGUAAAUGAUCCUUUUAGCGAAGCUUGACCGCCUCGCUAUCGGAACGAUCUUACGAAGCAAGCUGGUCUUUCUAAUCAUUGUCCGGCUGCAGAUAGCGUUCAUCGAGGGCGCGUGCCGCAAGGNAAUUCUGCAGACAACAUUCUGCCGAGUGUGUGGACAUUGAUAAUGAGAGCAAUCAAGUGCCUUAAGGGUGUUCGGUGGAUGCCUUGGCGCUGAGAGGCGAUGAAGGACGUGCUACGCUGCGAUAAGCCGUGGGGAGCUGCGAAGAAGCUUUGAUCCAUGGAUUU
RNAcentral lists this unclassified non-coding RNA (905 nucleotides) under Bradyrhizobium sp. ISLU207. Its description in RNAcentral is "partial 16S-23S ribosomal RNA intergenic spacer". The stretch from base 792 to 905 matches the Rfam family "Bacterial large subunit ribosomal RNA", at positions 1 to 113 of the family's 2925-position model. Lineage: Bacteria; Pseudomonadati; Pseudomonadota; Alphaproteobacteria; Hyphomicrobiales; Nitrobacteraceae. The record is from RNAcentral.